RNAcentral lists this transfer RNA (67 nucleotides) under Tetrabrachium ocellatum (four-armed frogfish). RNAcentral describes it as "tRNA-Tyr". It matches the Rfam family "tRNA". Rfam says of the family: Transfer RNA (tRNA) molecules are approximately 80 nucleotides in length. Their secondary structure includes four short double-helical elements and three loops (D, anti-codon, and T loops). Lineage: Eukaryota; Metazoa; Chordata; Actinopteri; Lophiiformes; Tetrabrachiidae. The record is from RNAcentral.
GGUAAGAUGGUCGAGAUAGGCGGUGGGUUGUAACCCCACACACAGAGGUUCAACCCUCUUCUUACCA